Molecule: non-coding RNA, 5056 nt
Organism: Sus scrofa (pig)
Lineage: Eukaryota; Metazoa; Chordata; Mammalia; Artiodactyla; Suidae
Source: RefSeq, a predicted model, not a curated record
AUCAUAUCUGCAACUUCAUGGUUCCUAGUCGGAUUCGUUAACCACUGAGCCACAACGGGACGCCAUGGGGUCUUGUUUUUCAACUUUGCAUUCAUCAUUGUCUUUCCCUCAAAGUAGCUCUCUUUUCAAGUCCCUUUUAGAAUGACACUAGUUUAAAACCUCUGAAACCUUAUGUCUGGUAAUUGUCUUUGCAAUAUUUUCUUCUUCAUGACUUAGACCCAAUGUCACAGAGUCCUGCCAAUUUUAUGUUCAAGUGACUCAAAUAAUUAAAACAACGAAAACAACAAAAAUUUUCUCCUGCAGGCCUUGUUUUAAUUCAAGAGCUCUUUCUACUGCCUUUUAAUUAAUCUCCCUACUUAUAUUCUUUGCUCAAUUAGACUAGUACUACAUUCUGUUGACAGAUCUAUUUCUCUCAAUACCUGUGUUCAAGUUUCACUAUGCUUCUAAAACCUUCAGUCAUCCCGUCAUGCACAAGAUAAAAUCUAAAUCCUCGAGUCUAAUGUUCAAAGCCUGUCAUAAUCCCUCCUUGCUACCUUUUCACACAUAUUUCCCCAAAUUCCUUCUCACUAGUUGAAAAUCUUUUCUAUCCAUAAAACACACCGUGUCAUCUACUUUCAAUACAAAUUGACUUCCCAUCUUCCCAUCUCUCUUCCCCAGAUACUGCUUUUUUCUUUUUUUGAAAAAUUAGCAAGUAUCACUGAUCUUUUAACUCUUCUGUGUUAAUGGAUCUGUUAAACAUUUAUUAUGUGGUAGGGCUGGAGGUAUUUCAAAAUUAAUUUAUUACCUGGCUUCUUCAAGGGUCUUUUGGUAUAGUUAGGAUAACAGGGAAAUUCAGAAUUCAGUGUUAAUGACCUGCUUCAGUCUAUAAAUUUUCAGUAAUUGGAGACAUAACAGUUUAGUAUGUGUUAUAUAUUGUAUGAGCUUCUUCUUUGUUUUUCAAAAUAUUAUUAUUGUUGUUAUUAUUGGCCUCUGUGUGCAGCAGCUUGAUGUGGGAUCUCAGUUCCCAGACUAAGGACUGAACCUGGGCCAUGCAAUGCAAGCUCUGAAUCCUAACCCCUAGACCACCAGGGAACAGCCUAAAGUUAUAUUUUAAGCUGCUGAAAGGACAGGUGCUGCCUUCUGCAUGUGUGACUAUGUGUUUCUAGAUUUCUUUGUAAUGUUGGAGAGGUGCUUGAGAAAAAUGGAUUGCAUGAACUUUUAGAGUGGGAAGGAGGUGUUUUUCUCUUGCCACAGAGCUUAGGCAAAUUAAAAAUCCAUACUUCUCACAAAAAUGGUCUUAGAGCGAGGUAAGCAACUGCAAAUGCCUGUGGAAGCCAGGCAUAACAUGAGCGGGUGAACUGGCAGGUUGGAAAGUGAAGACAGGUCUCAUUGGUGGGUGGUGGCCUUUUCCAAAGGGGGCAUCUCUUGGCCAGCAGGAACUAUUGUUGCCACAGUCAAGUCCAAUGAUGCCUGAUCUAAUUUUUCAAGAGGAGAUGGACAAAUUCCAUACCAGGAAAAGCUGAAUUUGUCCUAUAGUCUGCUAGUUUGUAAUCUUGGCCCUAUAGGGACUUUUUUUUUGCUGUUGAUGUGAUGAUAGUAGAAUUCUCCCAUUGGACGUAGUCAAGGUUGGUAGAUGAUCAGUUAGUUAGAAAAGACAGUCAAAUUAGCAAAGCAUAAACAAAUCAUUGACCUGUAUAAUGAAAUUCUUAUAGUAAUACAUGAUGGUGCCCACACUAAAUAUUUUAUGCUAGCUUAGAACAUGUCAAUUAAAUUCUUUCACCUAUCUUUUUAUGUGGGGGUAAUAAGGCCUUUUUGCUGGGUGUGAGUUCACUGAUUGGAUUGCUAAAUUAUUCUUCCUAGGUAGACCACACAUUGUCCUCCAUUUCUAGCUCCCAUUUCUGCAAGCAGUGUGAGAAAAAUUUAGAGGCAGAAUCCUUCUAAAUUUCUGUGACAUUCUUCCAACUUUCAUAUUGUCUUGUCCCCAAAGGAGAUUGCUUUAUUUUUAGCAACUCACUUUUAACCAAAGCAUUAACCAAAGCAUUUGUUAGAAGCAAUUCUCUUUUCACACGCCCCGUUCAUCAGUUUACAAGAUAAUUAAUCUGUAUAAUUGCAAUGUAAAAUAAGUCAAGCAUAAACAAGUUUGGGAACAAAUGAAACUGACUCCUGGCAACCAGUUAAUUGAACUCAGGGGGCAGGAAGGCUCAGAAGUACAGAGAUGAGCCUUCUGGUCACAUGAUGUGGCGGGUUGUGGACAGCGAUGGUUGUUUCCAGGGAAGAGUAGAGAGCAUGGAUAAAUCCCAUCACUUGAUGAAGUGAGGGGCAAUUAAGUGAGCAACAUGGCAUAUCCAGCAUUGCCGUUCAUUGUGCUGACUUGUUGCAUAGGCCCACGGUGUGAAACUCAGGUUAGCACAGCAUCCAUUGCCAUCUGUGAAUCACGGGGUGUUCCAGAGCUAGGUUCCGUAGGCUGUGAUAAAUGCUUUUGGUGACUCUCAUGGGGGGUGGGGGUAGGGUUUAAUUCUAAACCUGUGACCAUACAUUUGCUUCCAAAGAGGUUGGGUAGGAAGCAUUCUUAUACUCUGAGAACUAAAAUAUUUUAGUGCAACCUUGCUCUUGGCAGGUAUAACAAACCAUGUUUUGGAAAGAGAUAACCUGUGCAAGGAUUACAAGAGCAGAGAGAUUUCCACAGUUCAAGUUGCUGCUUUAAGGACAUAAACUUCUGUUUGCUCACCCAGAAGUUUUCCCUCACUUUUUUCCUCAGCGCUUACAUGGAGCAAUUCUUUAUGACCACAGAAAAAAUGGCUCACACUCAGAUUAGAAUUUAGAUUUUUCUUUGUCCUUGUAAAGCAGUUCGUGUUCUUGGAAGGAAUCUAAAAAUAUCCCGUUUGCUUCUCCCCUUCACGCUCAUUAUUUUUAACCUCUUGUGGAUGAUUGUUAUUCUGCACACAGUGGGCUGAAUACAUUAAAUCUUAAAGGCAUUGCUUGUGCUCACAAACAUUAUGUGCACUUACUUUUUAAAUAAAGGAUACAUUUGAAUUGCAGAAUGGCAAAAAAGGUUAAUGUUCAGCUAAAAGACUAGUUGUUUUUAAAAAUACUUGUGGCAAACUGACCUUUCCUACUGGUUUAAUAAUUUCCAAAAGCAACAAUAAAUGGUAGGCAUUUUAACACUCUAUCACUAGCAAGCAUUUACAAAGCAUCUGUCAAGUGAGACAUCUUCCCUCAGGGAGUGCCCGGUGUUACUGCAAAUGAUUUGCCAUCUUCCUAUUGAAGUUUGUUCAUCUUCUCUUUUUCUGGAAUCCAUUCCAGAUUCCCAGAGUUGAAUCGUUUCUGUGGACUCUGGAAUCUGCAUGUGUAUCGAAAUGUGUUGAUAAUUUCUACCUAGAGUGAUAUUGAGAACAGACACUCUCAGCAUUUUCCCGCCCUAGAGAAAUUAUAAAUUAUAUCCUUCCAGGAGUAGGCCCAGAGUAGGGGUUAAAAUCUGGCAAGAGGGCAAGUAAACUUUUUGUAAGGUGAGAACUCACACUGAAGUCUUGGCCUUUCUAUCUGUUAGACUUUGGAAAUUUGCACCAGUCAUACGGAGAAAUGGCUUCUAAUACACCCGGAGUACAGCUAAGCAGGAGGUUGGUGACGGGAUAUUUAGAAAUUAACAGAUUCAACCAAGAGUGUUACUAAGGUCAAAAUAAGCAAGAAGCAGGCGGGAUCCCUCAGUGCAGGGAUGCAAUACAGCAGAAGCCAUAGAUGACUUUGCAGAUGGGUUAAACCUCUAGGCAACAGAUACCUGCAUAGUUCAUUUGGACCAAGAGAUCUCACUACAGACCGGAUUUGAGCAGAGUAUGGCUUAUACCUUUCCCCUCCAAUCAUCCUCAGGCUUCAGACAAGGAAAUGGACCUUUGAGCGAACAAGCAGCUAACUGGUAAAGGGCAUUCCUGAUAUCACUUCUUUUCAUUUCAUUGUGACAACUGCGGACUCUAAGAUCCAAGUGUAUCAGUAACACGUAUUCAUUUAUUGUUUCUAUGUGGUAUGAGAAGAAACAGAAGUCUCAUCUUCUUAGCUUGCUCCAUGAUACAAAAUCUUCACACCAGCAACUCCUCACCCAUGAACACAGACCAUGUUGAAAAUCUGUCUGGCCAGGUGGGCUGCUCCUCUAGCUGAAGGAUGGGGUCCUUGUUGCCCAGCUUUUCCCAUAUGCAACCCAUUCCCCUGUAGAGAGUGUGGAGCACAGUCAUAGGCACUUAAUGCACCUUAACUGGAACUGAUGAAUGUCUCACUUGUGUCUGAGGUGAUACGUGGAAAGCUUUUGGUACUAAGGAUGCAGUGGUGAAGAAAGUGCUGCUCCUGUUUUGGGUGUUAAGUGAGCUUUCCUGUGCACUCGACCAGAUAAUGCUGCCAGGGUUUCUGUACGUGACAUCAAGAUUGGAAGCCCUGAAGCUGGAGUCUUGGACAUGUCAGUGUCCCAUCUGGGAGAGGGUGAUCUCUUACGGCACGCUUCCUCUUCCCACCUCCUUACCAAGACAUUCAUCACCACAUGCAUUCUUGACAUCCCACCCCCUCCAAGAAGCUGCAUGGUUUGGGGACAGUGAUGUUCUCUGCUGAAAUAAUGAUUUCCUGUCUCCUUUUCUGCUGGUGGUGGACUUGGGGAAUAUCUCAUCAAUAGGGCUCUUGGAUUCAGGUAUGGGGACCUCUGCCCUGAGCUCCACACCUCAGAAGACCCACAUACCACAAACAGAAACCAAAGAAGUGAUUAAGGAUGCAAAUGCCUCCAUCACUUAGGAUGUGUCCUUGAGCUUGGACAUAUCCUAAACUUCUGCUCUCCGGACCUACCCUCGUCAGGUCCAGGAAAUUGGAAGUGUUUCACAUCUUUUGUCUUCUGUAUGCAAAGCAAAAGCCAGGUAACAUAAAUGCUGGGAAGCAUAGUGUGUCAUGCUGCAGACUUUAGAAAAGAUCUUGAUUUGAAAUCAGAGAGGAUGUAAGCGUCAGGGGAGCUUAGACAAGAAACAAAGAUACAUCGAUUUGUCAAAUUCUCCCUCUCAUAUGCAUGAAUGAAUGAGAUUCUUCUAUAAUAAAGGAUCAUUUUCGAGUA